GAUACCUAGGGAUAACUGCACCUGUACCAGUGGAGUAACGAAGUACAGUUACCCAGAAAACUCUUCUUGUUAUCUCAGCUAUGGUCAGCAAGUUGGUUGUGCCUUCAUAUGUCUGAAUAAGGGAAAAAGAGAGUUUGGUUGGCUACGUGAAGGUUCGCCGUGUAAGGUAGUAUUCUGAUGGCAAGUUUCAAACUUUUUUUAAACAUUGCGCUUCCCUGCCUGAUGCUACCGUUCGGUAAGUGUGCCUGCUUAUUAGCUAGUGCACGGUUCUGACAUAAGUGUGAAUAACAUUACAAUCACCUCCGAAAAAAAUUAGGAUGUCUGUGGGCAGCAAAUGCCUGAUGAUUGGCGUAGCUGUCAUUUUGCAUGCUGGGAAACCUGUUUGUAUUGGUACGAAUUAUGCAGUGAAAAAGCAAUCGGUACCUAAAUAUUCUCAGUGCAAAAAAUAUGCACCUCCGAAAUUUAAGCAUAAACCUUUUAUUUUAUUACCGCCUGCUGCACUUUCCUUCUCAAUGUUGGGCACGUCUGCUAGUUUAUAUCAUGAUCCCUACUUC
Molecule: non-coding RNA, 554 nt
Organism: Dermacentor andersoni
Lineage: Eukaryota; Metazoa; Arthropoda; Arachnida; Ixodida; Ixodidae
Source: RefSeq, a predicted model, not a curated record